GUGAAACAUUUUUUCAUGCUUUUUGCUCAAUUUAAAAUUGGAUUAUCUUUUUAUGAUUGAUCUGUAUUUCUUUAUAUAUUCUGGAUAUAUAUCAUUUAUCAUGUAUGCAUCAUACAUAGUUUUUCCUAGUCUGUGGUUUGUCUUUUCAUUAUCUAAGUGCUGUCUUCAUAAGCUAAUUUUUAAAAAAUUUUGAUGAUUGCAUUCUACUUUUGUGAUUGAGGUGUAGUUAGACUCUUCGAGCUGACAUUUUAACUUGAGGAUUUUAAAUUAGUCUCAUCACACACACACACACACACACACACAAGUAUGCAGACACUCCUCACCCCAAGGUAACCUGUGUUGGUAGCUUGCUAUACAUCUUCCCACAUCUCUUUCCAUGCUCUUACAAACAUAUACAUAUGCACGAGAUUUUUUUUUUUUAAUUUUACUUAAAGGGUACCCCGCUAUGGACUCCAGAAACUAUUCUUUUCGUUUAACAUAAAUUGACCAACAGGUACAUGAAAAGACCUGUCAGAAUGACUAUUAUAAAAAAGACAAGAUAUAACAAGUGUUGGUGAGGAUGUGAAGCAAAGAUAAUCCUGCACACUGUUGGUGGGACUGUAAACUGGUGCACCACUAUUGAGGUGCCUCAAAAAAUUAAAAAUAGAACUACGAUUUGACUCUGUAAUUCCACUUCUGGCUAUUUACCUGAAGAAAAUGAAAACACUAACUCAAAAAAAUAUCUGCCCUUCCAUGCUCACUGUGGCAUUAUUCAUAAUAGCCAAGACAUGGAAGCAACCCAUGUGCAUUGACAGAUGAAUGGAUAAGGAAGAUGUGGUCAUAUCUAUGAUGGAAUAUAGCCAUGAAGAAGAAGUGAAAUCUCGCUAUUGACAACAACAUGGAUGGACUGUAAUGCUAAAAGAAUAAGGCAGAGAAAACAAAUAGUGUCUGAUUUCACCUAUAUAUAAAAUCUAAAAGGAAAACAAGGCUCAUAGAUGCAGAGAAGAGAUUGGUUGUUUCCAGAGUCUAGCUGCCUCAAACGAUGCUUGAAACAAGCACACCAGCAAGCCAAGGACAAUACUGAGCCUAUAGCUCUGUCUGGGAAGUCUGUUGCUGUUUUCCUGUGGGAUAAAUUCCAACGGCCUCAAGCCCUGUUUACCGUGCACCGUGCCAACGGGAUUUGGCUUACAUCAUUUGUGAAGGGGACACACGGAUAAAGAGCUAUGCCUCAGUGGAGCAGUGACCCAUAUCUCAGGCUGCAGCCUCCCCCCGCUCUGUGUGCCUGUGAAUGAGAACAAAGAUGGCAGGA
This 1288-nucleotide long non-coding RNA is filed under the name Mustela putorius furo (domestic ferret). RNAcentral describes it as "lncRNA (ENSMPUG00000031068.1)". Lineage: Eukaryota; Metazoa; Chordata; Mammalia; Carnivora; Mustelidae. The record is from RNAcentral.